Molecule: ribosomal RNA, 253 nt
Filed under: uncultured bacterium
Lineage: Bacteria
Description: partial 16S ribosomal RNA
Rfam family: Bacterial small subunit ribosomal RNA
Source: RNAcentral
UACGUAGGGGGCAAGCGUUGUCCGGAUUUAUUGGGCGUAAAGAGCGUGUAGGCGGCCAUACAGGUCAGCUGUGAAAACUCGAGGCUCAACCUCGAGACGUCGGUUGAAACCGUAUGGCUAGAGUCCGGAAGAGGAGAGUGGAAUUCCCGGUGUAGCGGUGAAAUGCGCAGAUAUCGGGAAGAACACCCAUGGCGAAGGCAGCUCUCUGGAACGCAACUGACGCUGAGACGCGAAAGCGUGGGGAGCAAACAGG